GAACUGCCUUGCAGACAAGUUCUUCGUGCUGUUUAAACCACUCUGCCUUCCAAUGGUCAGGACCACAGCAGAUUAUGCGUUACAUGGAACUAAAGUGAAAUUUUCCUCUAGAGGAAAAAUGCCAAGGGAAUUAGUGAACAAAAGCUCCUUCACAUUUUUGAGGAUUGAAGAGGAGUUGGGUGACCACAAUCAAGCCUGUAGAACCUCCCUGUUAACUCAACUCAUCCAGCCUCUCAAACUCUCAGCACCUCUCACUGUAUGGUGUGACAACCGAUUUCCAUGCUCAGCCCUUUAAAGUGACAAGCCACACUUCACACUGCAAACUGGUUUCACACUGUACCUCCACCACAGAUGAAUGAUCCCCACUGGCAGUGGAUUUGUGAGCCAGUCGAGCUGCAAACAGCUUCUUCAGCCGCAGGUAGUCAUCCAGAACCACUUUCAAAAGGGAGCCCUUGAGUCAGCACGAAGGGACUACAAACAAUGGCAGAUAAACUUACAUGGGUCCUGGCUGGACUAUUCCAGAGGUCAGUGAUGUCGCUGAGGUUCUCUGGCAGAUCAUCUUCAUGCUCAGCCUGAGCAGCAAGUUCCAAGUUUCUGCAGAAGGGAUCGAGCCAGACUGGAUUUGCCCUGAAACAAAACAUUGGCACUGUGAAGGGAACACUCCUUAAGACAACACAGAGU
This is a long non-coding RNA of Stegostoma tigrinum, 681 nucleotides long. RefSeq lists it as uncharacterized. NCBI's taxonomy places the organism in Eukaryota, Metazoa, Chordata, Chondrichthyes, Orectolobiformes, Stegostomatidae. The transcript has 4 exons. The record is from RefSeq and is a predicted model, not a curated record.